UGAUAAAUUUGUAUCUAUAUGAGUCAUAAAAAAUAGUAUGGAUCGCAUGCAAGAAUUUCAACCAACAUAGAGGCACUUGCACAAUAUUCUUAUGUUACAUGAAACCCUGCAUGGCCUAAUAAAUCAAACAAAAGUGAGACAAACUACGGAAUCGGUUUUUCUGCUCCCCAUGAGGAUAUUGCAAUGCUCACAAUACAUCACAAAAACAGAGUAACUAGUUGCAAUCAUACAGGAUGGUGGCACAGGGGGGAGGUUACUUAUCUACUACAAAACUCUUAGUAGCUGAUGUCUUCAGAGUAUAUGCUCCAAAUAUCAGAGAUUCUUCGCCUUCUCC
RNAcentral lists this small RNA (334 nucleotides) under Vigna angularis var. angularis. RNAcentral describes it as "Non-protein coding transcript". The record is from RNAcentral. Lineage: Eukaryota; Viridiplantae; Streptophyta; Magnoliopsida; Fabales; Fabaceae.